UACAGAGACUGCAAGCGUUAUUCGGAUUUACUGGGCGUAAAGGGUGCGCAGGCGGCCAAUUGUGUGAGGCGUGAAAUCCUGGAGCUUAACUCCAGAAUUGCACCUCAAACUACAUGGCUAGAGCAUUGGAGAGGGUAGCGGAAUUCACGGUGUAGCAGUGAAAUGCGUAGAUAUUGUGAGGAACACCAGAGGCGAAGGCGGCUCCCUGGACAAUUGCUGACGCUCAGGCACGAAAGCGUGGGGAGCAAAAGGG
RNAcentral lists this ribosomal RNA (253 nucleotides) under uncultured bacterium. RNAcentral's name for it is "partial 16S ribosomal RNA". It matches the Rfam family "Bacterial small subunit ribosomal RNA", at positions 524 to 776 of the family's 1533-position model. The record is from RNAcentral.